Molecule: ribosomal RNA, 464 nt
Filed under: uncultured bacterium
Lineage: Bacteria
Description: SSU rRNA
Rfam family: Bacterial small subunit ribosomal RNA
Source: RNAcentral
AGAACGAACGCUGGCGGCAUGCCUAACACAUGCAAGUCGAACGCUUUUGGGGCUUCGGUCCCAAAGGAGUGGCGCACGGGUGAGUAGCGCGUGGGAACCUGCCCUGUUGUGGGGGAUAACCGAGGGAAACUUCGGCUAAUACCGCAUACGCCCGGGGGAAACUCCGGGGAAAGAUUUAUCGCAGCAGGAGGGGCCCGCGUCGGAUUAGGUAGUUGGUGGGGUAACGGCCCACCAAGCCUGUGAUCCGUAGCUGGUCUGAGAGGAUGAUCAGCCACACUGGGACUGAGACACGGCCCAGACUCCUACGGGAGGCAGCAGUGGGGAAUAUUGGACAAUGGGCGCAAGCCUGAUCCAGCAAUGCCGCGUGAGUGAUGAAGGCCUUCGGGUUGUAAAGCUCUUUCGCACGCGACGAUGAUGACGGUAGCGUGAGAAGAAGCCCCGGCUAACUUCGUGCCAGCAGCCAC